AGUGAACGCUGGCGGUAGGCCUAACACAUGCGAGUCGAACGGCAGCACAGUAAGAGCUUGCUCUUACGGGUGGCGAGUGGCGGACGGGUGAGGAAUACAUCGGAAUCUACUUUUUCGUGGGGGAUAACGUAGGGAAACUUACGCUAAUACCGCAUACGACCUACGGGUGAAAGCAGGGGAUCUUCGGACCUUGCGCGAUUGAAUGAGCGGAUGUCGGAUUAGCUAGUUGGCGGGGUAAAGGCCCACCAAGGCGACGAUCCGUAGCUGGUCUGAGAGGAUGAUCAGCCACACUGGAACUGAGACACGGUCCAGACUCCUACGGGAGGCAGCAGUGGGGAAUAUUGGACAAUGGGCGCAAGCCUGAUCCAGCCAUACCGCGUGGGUGAAGAAGGCCUUCGGGUUGUAAAGCCCUUUUGUUGGGAAAGAAAAGCAGCAGGUUAAUACCCCGCUGUUCUGACGGUACCCAAAGAAUAAGCACCGGCUAACUUCGUG
This 492-nucleotide ribosomal RNA is filed under the name uncultured bacterium. Its description in RNAcentral is "partial 16S ribosomal RNA". It matches the Rfam family "Bacterial small subunit ribosomal RNA", at positions 29 to 507 of the family's 1533-position model. The record is from RNAcentral.